AUGCAGGAAGCUCCCCUCACUCCGGCCCACCCCGUCGCCUUCGGGUUCUGGCCCAGACCGGUGUGCUUCCCCACCGCCGACGGGCUCUUCUUCUACGGCGGCUGCACCCCCUUCGUCCCGUGCGCCAGCCCGUCGCCGAUCGGCACCUCCUUCGUCCCGUGCGCCAGCCCGUCGCCGCUCGGCACCCCCUUCGUCCCGUGCUCCAGCCCGUCGCCGCUCGGCAGCCCCUUCACGCCGAGCCCCAGGCUUCCGCCGCGCGCCGCCCCCUUCACCCAGAACCCCAGGCCGUCGCCGCGCGCCACCCCGUUCACCCCGUUCACCCCGUUCACCCCGAGCCCCAGCACCUCGUCGCGCGGCACCCCCUUCACCCCGAGCCCCAGGGCGCACCCGUGCGGCACCCCCUGGUCCUCCUCCUCCUCCGGCUCCCGCGUGGACGAUGCGGCGGCCACGGAGCACCGCCUGCAUCUGGCCCGCCUCGCGCUCCAGUGCCAGGACGCCACCAACCGCUACGAGCUCUGCCUCAGCCACCUCGCCGACGCCGCGCGCGAGGCCGCCGCGCUCCGCCUCGAGAACUCCGAGCUCCGCGUCAUCAACAACGACCUUGCCGGCCGCUUCGCCAUGCUCGGCGGCAACCAGGCCUCCGCCGUCGCGCUGGCCGGGCAGCUCCGCGGCCUCCACCUCGGGCAGAUGCAGGUGCCGGUGCCGGUGCAGGCCGUGGCGUCUCCACCGGUGCUGCCCAUGCCCAUGGCGGGCCCCGCCUCCCCGGCCGAGAAGCACGCGGUGAUGCCCAAGAGCAUCUCCAUCCGCUCGACGGGCUACCUGAAGAUGGCCAGGCGCGGCGGCAAGGGAAAGCAUGGCGUCACGAAGCCGAUGGACGUCGGCUCGCAGCGCGUGUUCGUGGGCGUGGACGUCGACGGCGCCAAGGCGGAGGAGCACCAGGGCGCCAGCGACGGCGGGGACAGGCGCGGCCAGGUGGUCAAGUCCGCCAGCGGGCUGGAGUUCGAGGCGUACAGCCAGGGCAUGUACAAGACGGAGCUGUGCAACAAGUGGGAGGAGAGCGGGGCGUGCCUGUACGGCGACCAGUGCCAGUUCGCGCACGGCAUCGCCGAGCUCCGCCCCAUCAUCCGCCACCCGCGCUACAAGACCCAGGUCUGCCGCAUGGUCAUCGGCGGCGGCCUCUGCCCCUACAGCUACCGCUGCCACUUCCGCCACUCCAUCACCCGUGCCGACUACAUCCCCCUCCUCCACCCCUGA
This 1254-nucleotide ribosomal RNA is filed under the name Triticum aestivum (bread wheat). RNAcentral's name for it is "partial small subunit ribosomal RNA". The record is from RNAcentral. Lineage: Eukaryota; Viridiplantae; Streptophyta; Magnoliopsida; Poales; Poaceae.